GAUGAACGGUGGCGGCGUGCCUAAUACAUGCAAGUCGAACGCAUUGAGAGAAGUGCUUGCACUUUUCAAUUUGAGUGGCGAACGGGUGAGUAACACGUGGGCAACCUACCUGAUAGCGGGGGAUAACGAGUGGAAACAUUCGCUAAUACCGCAUAACAAUAGAGAAGGCAUCUUCUUUAUUUAAAAGGCGCUUUCAAGCGUCACUACCAGAUGGGCCCGCGGUGCAUUAGUUAGUUGGUGGGGUGAAGGCCUACCAAGACGAUGAUGCAUAGCCGAGUUGAGAGACUGAUCGGCCACAUUGGGACUGAGACACGGCCCAAACUCCUACGGGAGGCUGCAGUAGGGAAUCUUCCACAAUGGACGAAAGUCUGAUGGAGCAACGCCGCGUGUGUGAUGAAGGCUUUCGGGUCGUAAAGCACUGUUGUAUGGGAAGAAAUGCUAGGCUAGGAAAUGAGCUUAGUUUGACGGUACCAUACCAGAAAGGGACGGCUAAAUACGUGCCAGCCGCCGCGGUAA
RNAcentral lists this ribosomal RNA (516 nucleotides) under uncultured bacterium. RNAcentral's name for it is "partial 16S ribosomal RNA". It matches the Rfam family "Bacterial small subunit ribosomal RNA", at positions 28 to 523 of the family's 1533-position model. The record is from RNAcentral.